Molecule: ribosomal RNA, 418 nt
Filed under: uncultured bacterium
Lineage: Bacteria
Description: bacterial SSU rRNA
Rfam family: Bacterial small subunit ribosomal RNA
Source: RNAcentral
UGGGGGAAUAUUGCACAAUGGGGGGAAACCCUGAUGCAGCAACGCCGCGUGAGCGAAGAAGUAUUUCGGUAUGUAAAGCUCUAUCAGCAGGGAAGAAAAUGACGGUACCUGACUAAGAAGCCCCGGCUAACUACGUGCCAGCAGCCGCGGUAAUACGUAGGGGGCAAGCGUUGUCCGGAAUGAUUGGGCGUAAAGGGCGCGUAGGCGGCCCGGUAAGUCUGGAGUGAAAGUCCUGCCUUCAAGGUGGGAAUUGCUUUGGAUACUGUCGGGCUUGAGUGCAGGAGAGGUAAGUGGAAUUCCCAGUGUAGCGGUGAAAUGCGUAGAGAUUGGGAGGAACACCAGUGGCGAAGGCGACUUACUGGACUGUAACUGACGCUGAGGCGCGAAAGUGUGGGGAGCAAACAGGAUUAGAUACCCU